RNAcentral lists this ribosomal RNA (253 nucleotides) under uncultured bacterium. RNAcentral's name for it is "partial 16S ribosomal RNA". It matches the Rfam family "Bacterial small subunit ribosomal RNA", at positions 524 to 776 of the family's 1533-position model. The record is from RNAcentral.
UACGUAGGGGGCGACCGUUGUCCGGAUUUACUGGGCGUAAAGCGCGUGUAGACGGUCCCUUAAGCCCGGGGUGAAAGGUGCAGGCUCAACCUUCGAGCUGCGCCGGAAACUGGGGGUCUUGAAUGUCGGAGAGAGGCGUGGAAUUCCUGGUGUGGCGGUGAAAGGCGUAGAGAUCAGGAGGAACACCGGUGGCGAAGGCGGCGCCCUGGCCGAACAUUGACUUUGAGACGCGAAAGCGCGGGGAGCGAACGGG